AACGAACGCUGGCGGCGUGCCUAACACAUGCAAGUCGAGCGCGAAUGGGAGCAAUCCCUAGUAGAGCGGCGCACGGGUGCGUAACACGUGGGUAAUCUGCCUGGAAGACCGGGACAACCUUCCGAAAGGAAAGCUAAUACCGGAUAAGCCUACGGGAUCCUCGGAUCCUGAAGGAAAGGUGGCCUCUGUAUACAAGCUAUCACUUCCAGAUGAGCCCGCGGCCCAUCAGCUAGUUGGCGGGGUAACGGCCCACCAAGGCAACGACGGGUAGCUGGUCUGAGAGGACGAUCAGCCACACUGGAACUGAGACACGGUCCAGACUCCUACGGGUGGCAG
This 336-nucleotide ribosomal RNA is filed under the name uncultured Pseudomonadota bacterium. RNAcentral describes it as "bacterial SSU rRNA". It matches the Rfam family "Bacterial small subunit ribosomal RNA", at positions 29 to 351 of the family's 1533-position model. The record is from RNAcentral. Lineage: Bacteria; Pseudomonadati; Pseudomonadota.